GGGGUGUUAGCAUUCAAGUCACAGAGUGGAACGUUCCUUUUCAUAGAGCAGGUUUGAAACACUCUUUUUGUGGAAUCUGGAAGUGGACAUUUGGAUCGCUUUGAGGCCUGCGGUGAAAAAGGUAUAUCUUCGCAUAAAAACUAGACAGAAGUAUUCUCAUGAACUAGUUUGUGAUGUGUGUGCUCAACUACCAGAGUUGAACCUUUCUUUGGAUAGAGCAGUUUUGAAACACUCUUUUUGUAGAAUUUGCAUGUGGAUAUUUGGACAGCUUUGAGGAUUUCGCUGGAAACGGGAAAAUCUUCAUAUGAAAUCGAGACACAAGCA
RNAcentral lists this long non-coding RNA (324 nucleotides) under Homo sapiens (human). Its description in RNAcentral is "non-protein coding lnc-TEKT4-7:2". The record is from RNAcentral. Lineage: Eukaryota; Metazoa; Chordata; Mammalia; Primates; Hominidae.